This 89-nucleotide small RNA is filed under the name Sinorhizobium meliloti 2011. RNAcentral describes it as "putative ncRNA". Lineage: Bacteria; Pseudomonadati; Pseudomonadota; Alphaproteobacteria; Hyphomicrobiales; Rhizobiaceae. The record is from RNAcentral.
GAGAUUGCGGCGCGCGCGACGCCAGGGCGCGUCGGCGGACUUGUAGAUGAUGUGGCGCAGGUCGUUGAGGCGGCCCGGCGACUGAGGCU